Molecule: ribosomal RNA, 500 nt
Filed under: uncultured bacterium
Lineage: Bacteria
Description: partial 16S ribosomal RNA
Rfam family: Bacterial small subunit ribosomal RNA
Source: RNAcentral
AUUGAACGCUGGCGGAAUGCUUUACACAUGCAAGUCGAACGGCAGCACGGGGGCAACCCUGGUGGCGAGUGGCGAACGGGUGAGUAAUACAUCGGAACGUGCCCAGUCGUGGGGGAUAACGUAGCGAAAGUUACGCUAAUACCGCAUACGAUCUACGGAUGAAAGCGGGGGACCGUAAGGCCUCGCGCGACUGGAGCGGCCGAUGUCAGAUUAGGUAGUUGGGGAGGUAAAGGCUCACCAAGCCGACGAUCUGUAGCUGGUCUGAGAGGACGACCAGCCACACUGGGACUGAGACACGGCCCAGACUCCUACGGGAGGCAGCAGUGGGGAAUUUUGGACAAUGGGCGCAAGCCUGAUCCAGCCAUUCCGCGUGCAGGACGAAGGCCUUCGGGUUGUAAACUGCUUUUGUACGGAACGAAAAGGCUCUGGUUAAUACCUGGGGCUCAUGACGGUACCGUAAGAAUAAGCACCGGCUAACUACGUGCCAGCAGCCGCCGUAA